UGUCUGAAGAUCGGAGGACCACCUUCGAAGGCUAAGUACUCCUUACUGACCGAUAGUGAACCAGUACCGUGAGGGAAAGGCGAAAAGAACCCCUGUGAGGGGAGUGAAAUAGAUCCUGAAACCGUAUGCGUACAAGCAGUCGGAGCGGACUUGUUCCGUGACGGCGUACCUUUUGUAUAAUGGGUCAGCGACUUAUGUUCAGUGGCGAGGUUAACCGUUUAGGGGAGCCGUAGGGAAACCGAGUCUGAAUAGGGCGAUUUAGUCGCUGGGCAUAGACCCGAAACCGGGCGAUCUAUCCAUGAGCAGGUUGAAGGUGCCGUAACAGGCACUGGAGGACCGAACCCACUG
This 348-nucleotide ribosomal RNA is filed under the name Hemiselmis virescens. RNAcentral's name for it is "partial Bacterial large subunit ribosomal RNA". It matches the Rfam family "Bacterial large subunit ribosomal RNA", at positions 435 to 785 of the family's 2925-position model. Lineage: Eukaryota; Cryptophyceae; Cryptomonadales; Hemiselmidaceae. The record is from RNAcentral.